UGUACCUUAAUCUCUAAUCUAAUGUUUAACUAACAGUCUGUUAAAAUACAAACAGUGGUUUAAAUCAUAAUCGCUUCCAUCUUAUUUUAUACGGUUAUGUCAUCGAUGUGGGAAAGUUUUAUUAAAAAUGAAAUAAAUGCAAACGCGUAAGAUCAUCAAAUUUUUCUUAUGAUGAAAAAUUACAUCUAAUUAAUAUCAUCACAAAAUUCGAAAACGAACAAACAUACAAAUCAUCAAAAAAACUCGGCAUAGGAGACUUCAUUUUUUAAACGUUUGGUAUCUACAUACCAUGGCAGAAGUAGCUCUCCCAACAUAAAAGAAAAAACUAAAAAAACCGCAUAAUUAGCUAUUUUCGGGGAUUUAAUUUAAUAAUAAUUGAAAAGACUUAAACUUUGUUGAACAUACGGUACAAUUAAAAAAAAAAAAGAAUUAAGCCAAUGUUAAACGAUUAACUUUAUGGUCCAAGUGGUCAUAAUAUACACGGAACAAUAAAUGCAAUUCGUACCAAUAUAUUUUUCUGAAAAUAAAAUCAUCGCAAAUAUAAAAUGAUUUACUUUAGUUGGCGCUGAAAACAAAACCUUUUUUAUAUCGAAAUAGAUGAUGCUGAUCAUAUAAAUGGUAUUAUAUUUACACCCCGUAUAUUAUAUUAAUAAAUAUAACAAUAAAAAUUUUUUUAUUACUCUACAUUUAUUAUAUACAGUCAAGUGCCCUUAAUUGGGACAUUUUUUUUAGUGGAUGGUAGCACUUGCGAUUGUACUUCAUGCGUUUGCAACUAGGUUAUGUUAAACAAUAAUAAUAAAGUCACAAAUAACUGGUAUUUGUAAAGUGUGUGGUAUUUAUAUUCGGCAUUAAAAUCAGAUUAAGUCUAAAGUAUGUCUAAAUUCUUAGUUGAAUUUAUUUAUGAUGCUGGAACAAAAAACAUUCAUAGGAAAAAUCAUAAGUGAGGAAAACGGCAACUCUUUUUUCAAAGUCAGUUUUAUGGGAAACCAUAUGGGGUUCAAAAAUGUCUUUGUUUUUCCCAUUAUAGAGGACAUUGACAACAACGUUUCGGCAGAUCGCAUGAAACAACUUGUUAAGGCCACUUGCGAGUCCAGAGGAAAAUACACUUUUAAUUUAUAGAAAAUAGUUUUAUUUGUAUUUAUAAUAAUAUUCAUUUUUUCUUUCUUUUGUCAAGUUUUUAUAUAUUUGUGACAUUUUUUUGUUAAUAAAGCCUUAAAAAACUAGUUUUCUGAGCUUAAAUAUUUGUUGUUUUGAAUUGUAAAUAAAGUAACAGUUAUA
This is a long non-coding RNA of Diorhabda sublineata, 1278 nucleotides long. RefSeq lists it as uncharacterized. The transcript is spliced from 2 exons. NCBI's taxonomy places the organism in Eukaryota, Metazoa, Arthropoda, Insecta, Coleoptera, Chrysomelidae. The record is from RefSeq and is a predicted model, not a curated record.